CCUACGGGAGGCAGCAGUAAGGAAUAUUGGUCAAUGGAGGCAACUCUGAACCAGCCAUGCCGCGUGCAGGAAGACGGCCCUAUGGGUUGUAAACUGCUUUUGAACUAGAGAAAACCUUGGUACGUGUACCGAGUUGAUAGUAUAGUUAGAAUAAGCAUCGGCUAACUUCGUGCCAGCAGCCGCGGUAAGACGAAGGAUGCAAGCGUUAUCCGGAUUCAUUGGGUUUAAAGGGUGCGUAGGCGGACUGAUAAGUCAGUGGUGAAAUCUCUCAGCUUAACUGAGAAACUGCCAUUGAUACUGUUAGUCUAGAGUACAGAUGAUGUGGGCGGAAUAUGACAUGUAGUGGUGAAAUACUUAGAUAUGUCAUAGAACACCGAUUGCGAAGGCAGCUCACAAAACUGUAACUGACGCUGAGGCACGAAAGUGCGGGGAUCAAACAGGAUUAGAUACCCUGGUAGUCCGCACCGUAAACGAUGAUUACUCGUUGUUGGCGAUAUGACAGUCAGCGACCAAGCGAAAGCGANAAGAAUCCACCUGGGGAGUACGCCGGCAACGGUGAAACGUCAAAUGAAUUGACGG
This 579-nucleotide ribosomal RNA is filed under the name uncultured bacterium. RNAcentral's name for it is "bacterial SSU rRNA". It matches the Rfam family "Bacterial small subunit ribosomal RNA", at positions 338 to 916 of the family's 1533-position model. The record is from RNAcentral.